GUGGUAGGGCCCUGGAUUGUGAAUCCAGUUGUCGCGGGUUCGAAUCCCGUCAUUCACCCCA
Molecule: transfer RNA, 61 nt
Filed under: Acinetobacter baumannii 24860_7
Lineage: Bacteria; Pseudomonadati; Pseudomonadota; Gammaproteobacteria; Moraxellales; Moraxellaceae
Description: partial tRNA-Ser
Rfam family: tRNA
About the family: Transfer RNA (tRNA) molecules are approximately 80 nucleotides in length. Their secondary structure includes four short double-helical elements and three loops (D, anti-codon, and T loops).
Source: RNAcentral